UUUGAUGAAGUUUUCGGAUGGAUUUAAAACAGCUUAGUGGCGGACGGGUGAGUAACGCGUGGGUAACCUGCCUCACACUGGGGGAUAACAGUUAGAAAUAGCUGCUAAUACCGCAUAAGCGCACAGAGCUGCAUGGCUCAGUGUGAAAAACUCCGGUGGUAUAAGAUGGACCCGCGUUGGAUUAGCUAGUUGGUGGGGUAACGGCCCACCAAGGCGACGAUCCAUAGCCGGCCUGAGAGGGCGAACGGCCACAUUGGGACUGAGACACGGCCCAAACUCC
RNAcentral lists this ribosomal RNA (280 nucleotides) under uncultured Blautia sp. RNAcentral describes it as "partial 16S ribosomal RNA". It matches the Rfam family "Bacterial small subunit ribosomal RNA", at positions 62 to 339 of the family's 1533-position model. The record is from RNAcentral. Lineage: Bacteria; Bacillati; Bacillota; Clostridia; Lachnospirales; Lachnospiraceae.